RNAcentral lists this ribosomal RNA (497 nucleotides) under uncultured bacterium. RNAcentral's name for it is "partial 16S ribosomal RNA". It matches the Rfam family "Bacterial small subunit ribosomal RNA", at positions 28 to 507 of the family's 1533-position model. The record is from RNAcentral.
GAUGAACGCUGGCGGCGUGCCUAAUACAUGCAAGUCGAGCGGACGGACGAGAAGCUUGCUUCGCUGAUGUUAGCGGCGGACGGGUGAGUAACACGUGGAUAACCUACCUAUAAGACUGGGAUAACUUCGGGAAACCGGAGCUAAUACCGGAUAAUAUUUUGAACCGCAUGGUUCAAAAGUGAAAGACGGUCUUGCUGUCACUUAUAGAUGGAUCCGCGCUGCAUUAGCUAGUUGGUAAGGUAACGGCUUACCAAGGCAACGAUGCAUAGCCGACCUGAGAGGGUGAUCGGCCACACUGGAACUGAGACACGGUCCAGACUCCUACGGGAGGCAGCAGUAGGGAAUCUUCCGCAAUGGGCGAAAGCCUGACGGAGCAACGCCGCGUGAGUGAUGAAGGUCUUCGGAUCGUAAAACUCUGUUAUUAGGGAAGAACAUAUGUGUAAGUAACUGUUCACAUCUUGACGGUACCUAAACAGAAAGCCACGGCUAACUACGUG